GACGAACGCUGGCGGCGUGCCUAAUACAUGCAAGUCGAACGAAGCUGUUUUAACUGGUGCUUGCACCGACUUAAACAACUGAGUGGCGAACGGGUGAGUAACACGUGGGUAACCUGCCCCAAAGCGGGGGAUAACAUCUGGAAACAGAUGCUAAUACCGCAUAACCACAGAAACCUCAUGGUUUCUGUGUCAAAGAUGGUUUCGGCUAUCACUUUGGGAUGGACCCGCGGCGUAUUAGCUAGUUGGUAAGGUAAUGGCUUACCAAGGCAAUGAUACGUAGCCGAACUGAGAGGUUGAUCGGCCACAUUGGGACUGAGACACGGCCCAAACUCCUACGGGAGGCAGCAGUAGGGAAUCUUCCACAAUGGACGAAAGUCUGAUGGAGCAACGCCGCGUGAGUGAAGAAGGUUUUCGGAUCGUAAAACUCUGUUGUCAGAGAAGAACGUGUGCGAGAGUAACUGUUCGUGCAGUGACGGUAUCUGGCCAGAAAGCCACGGCUAACUACGUGCCAGCAGCCGCCGUAA
Molecule: ribosomal RNA, 524 nt
Filed under: uncultured bacterium
Lineage: Bacteria
Description: partial 16S ribosomal RNA
Rfam family: Bacterial small subunit ribosomal RNA
Source: RNAcentral